CGGGGCGUAGCGUAGCCUGGCUAGCGCGCUUGGUUCGGGACCAAGAGGUCGGGAGUUCAAAUCUCCCCGCCCCGACCA
Molecule: transfer RNA, 78 nt
Filed under: Bacteroidota bacterium
Lineage: Bacteria; Pseudomonadati; Bacteroidota
Description: Bacteroidetes bacterium (wastewater metagenome) tRNA-Pro
Rfam family: tRNA
About the family: Transfer RNA (tRNA) molecules are approximately 80 nucleotides in length. Their secondary structure includes four short double-helical elements and three loops (D, anti-codon, and T loops).
Source: RNAcentral